This 304-nucleotide ribosomal RNA is filed under the name uncultured Streptococcus sp. Its description in RNAcentral is "bacterial SSU rRNA". It matches the Rfam family "Bacterial small subunit ribosomal RNA", at positions 1076 to 1382 of the family's 1533-position model. The record is from RNAcentral. Lineage: Bacteria; Bacillati; Bacillota; Bacilli; Lactobacillales; Streptococcaceae.
UUGGUUAAGUCCCGCAACGAGCGCAACCCUAUUGUUAGUUGCCAUCAUUCAGUUGGGCACUCUAGCGAGACUGCCGGUAAUAAACCGGAGGAAGGUGGGGAUGACGUCAAAUCAUCAUGCCCCUUAUGACCUGGGCUACACACGUGCUACAAUGGUUGGUACAACGAGUUGCGAGUCGGUGACGGCGAGCUAAUCUCUUAAAGCCAAUCUCAGUUCGGAUUGUAGGCUGCAAUUCGCCUACAUGAAGUCGGAAUCGCUAGUAAUCGCGGAUCAGCACGCCGCGGUGAAUACGUUCCCGGGCCUU